This 1026-nucleotide ribosomal RNA is filed under the name Rubroshiraia bambusae. Its description in RNAcentral is "SSU rRNA". It matches the Rfam family "Eukaryotic small subunit ribosomal RNA", at positions 75 to 1111 of the family's 1831-position model. The record is from RNAcentral. Lineage: Eukaryota; Fungi; Ascomycota; Dothideomycetes; Pleosporales; Shiraiaceae.
UAUACCGUGAAACUGCGAAUGGCUCAUUAAAUCAGUUAUCGUUUAUUUGAUAGUACCUUACUACUUGGAUAACCGUGGUAAUUCUAGAGCUAAUACAUGCUUACAACCUCGACUUCGGAAGGGGUGUAUUUAUUAGAUAAAAAACCAACGCCCUUCGGGGCUUCUUGGUGAUUCAUGAUAACUUUGCGGAUCGCAUGGCCUUGCGCUAGCGACGGUUCAUUCAAAUUUCUGCCCUAUCAACUUUCGAUGGUAAGGUAUUGGCUUACCAUGGUUUCAACGGGUAACGGGGAAUUAGGGUUCGAUUCCGGAGAGGGAGCCUGAGAAACGGCUACCACAUCCAAGGAAGGCAGCAGGCGCGCAAAUUACCCAAUCCCAAUACGGGGAGGUAGUGACAAUAAAUACUGAUACAGGGCUCUUUUGGGUCUUGUAAUUGGAAUGAGUACAAUUUAAACCUCUUAACGAGGAACAAUUGGAGGGCAAGUCUGGUGCCAGCAGCCGCGGUAAUUCCAGCUCCAAUAGCGUAUAUUAAAGUUGUUGCAGUUAAAAAGCUCGUAGUUGAACCUUGGGUCUGGCUGGCAGGUCCGCCUCACCGCGUGUACUUGUCCGGCCGGGCCUUCCUUCUGGAGAACCUCAUGCCCUUCACUGGGCGUGUUGGGGACCAGGACUUUUACUUUGAAAAAAUUAGAGUGUUCAAAGCAGGCCUUUGCUCGAAUACGUUAGCAUGGAAUAAUAGAAUAGGACGUGCGGUCCUAUUUUGUUGGUUUCUAGGACCGCCGUAAUGAUUAAUAGGGACAGUCGGGGGCAUCAGUAUUCAAUUGUCAGAGGUGAAAUUCUUGGAUUUAUUGAAGACUAACUACUGCGAAAGCAUUUGCCAAGGAUGUUUUCAUUAAUCAGUGAACGAAAGUUAGGGGAUCGAAGACGAUCAGAUACCGUCGUAGUCUUAACCGUAAACUAUGCCGACUAGGGAUCGGGCGAUGUUAUUUUUCUGACUCGCUCGGCACCUUACGAGAAAUCAAAGUUUUUGGG